Long non-coding RNA from Apis dorsata (giant honeybee), 578 nucleotides. RefSeq lists it as uncharacterized. The transcript is spliced from 2 exons. The record is from RefSeq and is a predicted model, not a curated record. NCBI's taxonomy places the organism in Eukaryota, Metazoa, Arthropoda, Insecta, Hymenoptera, Apidae.
GGCCCAGCUAUACAAGCUGUCUCAAAAAAAUUUGACAAACCAUUCAUUCGAUCUUCUAAUAACGUCUUAUGUGGAUCACAAUUUCUCGGUAUUAUCCAUUCUUCAAAAUACUACAAUUGUAAUAAAGAGAGCUAAAUACAGAUGUUCGACGGCUGAACUAGAAAACAGUAGCGGAUAAACAAUGCACAGUCGGUUUUAAAAGGAUUGACUAUGAAUUACAUGGAAAAGGUCAACCGGUUUCUUACAUGAAGUAAGAGUAAUUCUCUGCAACUUUAACUUUUCAACAACUACUUUGGAGAUGCCACAAACAACAAUCGAUGAAUUUUUAUAUGGCGCCUGAAAAACGAAGAAAAAGAUUUCUUUACGUUCGAUGUCUAUAUACUCUAUGUAGAUUGGAUUAAAUCGAAACUCUACUGAUAUAGUGAUGUGACCAAAACUCCACUAGGGAACUGGAAUUAUUGAGACUGGUGGGGGUUCAUGCAUAAUGCACAUAUAUAUUAUAAACUUACUUGUUGGUAUAGUAGAUAAUGUUAACAUUUAUUAUCCGGAACAAAUUUAACAAACGUUUUACAGAAAUA